Molecule: ribosomal RNA, 374 nt
Filed under: uncultured organism
Description: partial 16S ribosomal RNA
Rfam family: Bacterial small subunit ribosomal RNA
Source: RNAcentral
GUAGGUGGCAAGCGUUGUCCGGAAUUAUUGGGCGUAAAGCGCGCGCAGGUGGGUUCCUUAAGUCUGAUGUGAAAGCCCCCGGGCUCAACCGGGGAGGGUCAUUGGAAACUGGGGAACUUGAGUGCAGGAGAGGAAAGUGGAAUUCCACGUGUAGCGGUGAAAUGCGUAGAUAUGUGGAGGAACACCAGUGGCGAAGGCGACUUUCUGGCCUGUAACUGACACUGAGGCGCGAAAGCGUGGGGAGCAAACAGGAUUAGAUACCCUGGUAGUCCACGCCGUAAACGAUGAGUGCUAAGUGUUGGGGGGGUUUCCGCCCCUCAGUGCUGCAGCUAACGCAUUAAGCACUCCGCCUGGGGAGUACGGUCGCAAGACUG